Molecule: non-coding RNA, 24 nt
Filed under: Rattus norvegicus (Norway rat)
Lineage: Eukaryota; Metazoa; Chordata; Mammalia; Rodentia; Muridae
Source: RNAcentral
GGAAUUUUCAACCUUUUCUGUACC